AAGCUCGUAGUUGAAUUUCGGGGUUCUACCGUUGGUCGGGCUAACCAGUCUGUACUAGCGUGUAGAAUUCUUACCUUCUGGGGAACCAUCAUGUUAUUAAUUUAGCGUGGUAGGAAACCAGGACCUUUACCUUGAAAAAAUUAGAGUGUUCAAAGCAGGUUUACGUCUGAAUACAUUAGCAUGGAAUAAUAAAAUAGGACGGUGGUCCUGUUUUGUUGGUUUCUGAAUCACCGUAAUGAUUAAUAGGGAUAGUUGGG
Molecule: ribosomal RNA, 257 nt
Filed under: uncultured Scutellospora
Lineage: Eukaryota; Fungi; Glomeromycota; Glomeromycetes; Diversisporales; Gigasporaceae
Description: partial 18S ribosomal RNA
Rfam family: Eukaryotic small subunit ribosomal RNA
Source: RNAcentral